This 659-nucleotide non-coding RNA is filed under the name Pongo abelii (Sumatran orangutan). The record is from RNAcentral. Lineage: Eukaryota; Metazoa; Chordata; Mammalia; Primates; Hominidae.
AAAUAUGCUCCAGCUAUAAGUAACUUUCUUCUAGAAUUUUAACAUGAAUAAGUAAAAUUCUUCUGAUAUGAGUAUUGGCAAGCUAAAGAACAGGCAGGGAAUCUUAACUAGAUUUCCACAGACUAUUCUGAAAAACAGUUAAAACUUUUCAUGGGUGUAUGUAUUUGCCCAGGAAAGGAUCCAAAACUUUUAACAUAUUUUCAGAGGUAUCUGGGACAAACAAAUAAAAAUACAAACAAUGUAGAAAAGAACAUGAACCAAGCCAGAAAUUUUGACUCAGUAAACAGAUCAAAAAGCAAUAUAUCUUAGUGGUCAACCCUGAAGGUUCUGCACAGACUCAAACACCAACAAACAGAUUUUGAAAAAAAGAAACUGACGUUUUCAAGGCGAUAGUGCCAGUUGUUUCAAACCAGGCCCCUUAUUCUUGCUAGAGACUUCCCUGAAAACCACAGCACCUUGAAACACUCCUUUUCUGUAUAAACCGGGUUCUGGCAACACACAACCAAAGUACUCUGACCUAAUACAUGUACUUCCCACCAGGUUUUUGCAAUUAUUAAGUGAGACAAUGGAAGAAAGAGCUUUCAAAAGCAUAAAGCAUUCUACAAGUUUUCAGAUGAAGACUAAUCAUCAGAAAAACUAACUUCAUGAUUAGAAAGUUG